Acipenser ruthenus (sterlet) is the source of this 2841-nucleotide long non-coding RNA. RefSeq lists it as uncharacterized. The record is from RefSeq and is a predicted model, not a curated record. Lineage: Eukaryota; Metazoa; Chordata; Actinopteri; Acipenseriformes; Acipenseridae. The transcript has 6 exons.
UUAUAUUUGUGUCAGUUUUUAGUUAAGUAAAUUGGAAAAUUACAAGCGGUGUGUAUUUCAGUAUGCUAACGUGACGUUUUUCAGCAGGUUUCAUUUGAUUUUAUGAAGCAGAAUUAGUUAACACUCAAAUCAACCCCUCGACAGCAGUUCUACUAAAUGUCCACACGAGGGCAGCAUUGGAUAGGAAAUGAAAGCUAAAGCCUCGUCUGUCUCCCUGAAGUUCGCUACCAAUUGUAAAGAGCAGAGGACAGCUCAGCCGGAGGCGUGUGUCUGUGUGAAACGACUUUAUUUCAUGUGAUAAGUUUGUGGAAGAAGGACGCCAUGUGAGGAGGCGUUUGCUCUUGUUUUACACAGACUACGAGGGACAGCGCUCGUUAAACCAGGUCUGUGAGGAUGAGAAGGUCUCCACAGUCUGGAGUCUGGUCUCUGACAGGCUCAACAUACCUGUCAAUCAACAGGGACUCCUCUACAAAGGCAAGGCGCUGGCAGGUAGGCUGAACAGCGCAGCGCAGCACAGCACAGCACAGCACAGAACAGCUCACCCCUCCUCUCACGCCUCGCCUCACCCCGGGUCAGUGUGGCACAGCCUGCCUGCUCUUCUGAACAAACACUUCAGCCCUGCCGACGCAAUGAGAGUCUGGAGCAGCAACACGAGGUCUGUGAGGAUGAGAAGGUCUCCACAGUCUGGAGUCUGGUCUCUGACAGGCUCAACAUACCUGUCAAUCAACAGGGACUCCUCUACAAAGGCAAGGCGCUGGCAGGUAGGCUGAACAGCACAGCACAGCACAGCACAGCGCAGAACAGCUCACCCCUCCUCUCACGCCUCGCCUCACCCCGGGUCAGUGUGACACAGCCUGCCUGCUCUUCUGAACAAACACUUCAGCCCUGCCGACGCAGUGAGAGUCUGGAGCAGCAACACAAGGAUUACGAGCGGAGGCUGCGCUUGUUGAGCCUGGAUGAUAUGGAGCGGCUUGCGACCCGCAUGCUUCACCCUGAGGCUGUGGAGUGCAUGGAGCUGUCCUUCCUGGACUGAGGAAUACUGCUGCUGCCCUCUCUUCUCCCCCUCUCCCCUCUCCUCUCCCCCUCUCCCCUCUCCUCUCCACCUCUCCCCUCUCUUCUCCCCUCUCCCCUCUCUCCUCUCAUCUGUACUCUCUCCUCCCCCUGUCCUCUUCUCUCCUUAGUUUGUUUAAAAGAAUAGAAGCACACCCAGUGAGCAAGGCAUUGAGCAGCCCCACAUCCCGCUUCACAAUACCGCUACAUAUUGACUGACUGUUCGCAUUGUGUGUGUUUGGUAAGACAAACCACAUUUUCUACUUCUACUUUCUACGAUUGGGCAAGUCAGCGGUUGUUUGAUAACAGAACAUAAAACAUCACAGAGCGGGUUGAACUGCAUUGCUGCAAAUCAAGGCCCUUUCAAAUGUGUACCUUCCCAGCUCAGGUAUUGCUGAGGUAAAGAGACACUUCCUACAGGAGGACAGGACGUUGUCAAGGAGGGGAUGUCGUCACGUGUCCUGAGGGCUUUCUUAAAAACAUUGUUUUAUUAUUUCUAAGCGUACGUUGUUACUGCCUUUUAGCUCUUGAGCAUAAUAAUCUCAAUCCCGUUUGAAAUGACACUAAGUGCAUUUGCAUGGUGCAGAUGAGGGAUGUCGCUUCACUCGAGGCUUGUGUACUGAUGAAGAUGUAGUUUCAGUGUUUAAUGGUUAUCCCCUCACUGUGUGUGUGUGUGUGUGUGUGUGUGUGUGUGUGUGUUCUUGUCUCUCGCCUGUCCAGUGAGGAUGAAGAUGUAGUUUCAGUGUUUAAUGCUCAUCCCCUCACUGUGUGUUUGUGUGUUCUUGUCUCUUGACAGGUCUGUGAGGAUGAGAAGGUCUCCACAGUCUGGAGUCUGGUCUCUGACAGGCUCAACAUACCUGUCAAUCAACAGGGACUCCUCUACAAAGGCAAGGCGCUGGCAGAUGAGCACAGACUGUCACACGACUCCAUCGCUCCCGAUUCCAAGCUGAACUCGUUGUGACGCCCCCAACAGAGAAAGUGUCACCCUCGCAAGAACAGCACUCCCUGUGUCACCCCUCCUCUCAGACCUCACCCCUCACCCUCGCCUCACCCCUCCUGUCACACCUCACCCCUCGCCACACCCCUCCUCUCACACCUCACCCCUCCUCUCACCCAUCGCCUCAACCCUCCUGUCACCCCUCGCCCCUCCUCUCACCCCUCGCCUGACCCCUCCUCUCACGCCUCGCCUCACCCCGGGUCAGUGUGGCACAGCCUGCCUGCUCUUCUGAACAAACACUUCAGCCCUGCCGACGCAGUGAGAGUCUGGAGCAGCAACACAAGGAUUACGAGCGGAGGCUGCGCUUGUUGAGCCUGGAUGAUAUGGAGCGGCUGGCGACUCGCAUGCUUCACCCUGAGACUGUGGAGUGCAUGGAGCUGUCCUUCCUAGACUGAGGAAUACUGCUGCUGCCCUCUCCACCUCUCCCCUCUCUUCUCCCCUCUCCCCUCUCUCCUCUCCUCUUUACUCUCUCCUCCCCCUCUCCUCUCCUCUCCUUACUUUGUUUAAAAGAAUAGAAGCACACCCAGUGAGCAAGGCAUUGAGCAGCCCCACAUCCCGCUUCACAAUACCGCUACAUAUUGACUGACUGUUUGCAUUGUGUGUGUUUGGUAAGACAAACCACAUUUUCUACUUUCUGCUAUUUUAAAAGGAGCCCAGUUUGGUGCAGGAGGCUUGUGGGUAACAGAGUUGUUUUUGCUGGGGACUGCAGCCCUUCCAUUACCAUUGCUCGUAGAGGGGAGAUUGUUUUACUUUCAAGCCUUUUUCUUUAAUAAAUCCGGACGUUUGGAAAUACA